GACUAUAACCAUACUACCCUGAAAAAGCCCAAUCCCAUCUGAUUUCAGAAGCUAAACAGCAUCGGGCCUGGUUAGUACUUGGAUGGGAGACCACCUAGGAAGACCAGGUGGUGUAGGCA
This 119-nucleotide ribosomal RNA is filed under the name Pteropus alecto (black flying fox). The record is from RNAcentral. Lineage: Eukaryota; Metazoa; Chordata; Mammalia; Chiroptera; Pteropodidae.